ACUCUGUACCACAAGUUGAUUGAUAUAAUUGAUUGCAUUGUAUGUAUGCACUGCAAAUACACUAAUUAAAUAGCACACACCAGCUAACCACCUACACACAAGUAUUUAAUUUUCGAGUGAUAUUGUAAACAAUGAACUGAUGUCUUUUCUAAAUAUAUUAUUAAACCAAAGUUUUCAGCCUAACCUUGGCCCCUUUUUUCUCUUGUUAUAUCGAGAUCAUGGGAGUUCAUAAAUCUAGAUUUCUAACUACUAUAUUCCUUCUUUUUAUACUAGUAAUACUGCUCCAUCUUUCAAGUUGCAGGCACAUUUCCUGGGGGCUUAAGGAAGAGAUUAUGGAACAAAGAACAAGAAGCAGGUUCCCCUUUUCUUCAUUCCCACAUAGUUAUAAUUCUGCUGAAAUCAAAGACAACAAGGUCAGUGGAUUUCAUACUGUUUCACAUACAGCUACUCCAGGUGGACCAAACCCACUUCAUAACUGAAUGAAAGAAAAAUAGGCAUCAUCAUCAUUAUCAUGAAGUCUCUAGUGAAAGCAGAUCUGGUAUAAUUAACCACAAAGGGUAGCAAUUUCUUAGAAGCAAGACAUAGUUUGAUUUCAUUUUCCUUAAUUACCUUUGCAGAAUCCAAAAUGGUGCUUUAGUUAGUUUGCAUCAUAAAGCUAUGCCAGGCCAUUUCCUUUGAUAUAUAUGUAUAAUAGAAAAAGCAUAUGUUUUACAAUUUACAUAUAUCACUUAAAAGUUGCUUGCACUUAAUUAUGAGGAUCAUCGGGCAUAGUAUAUAUAUGGUGAAGGAAAUUAUAAUGUACUUGCCCAUAGUCUAUGUUGAUUAUCUCACUAUAGCAAUAACGUUCUUUCCAAUUAAAAUGUUCAUUUUUCAUCUGUAUCUUGCCAAAUCCUUACUGCAGAAGAUCCAAACCAGUAGAACUGGGUGUUUAAUUAGUUAUGCAUCAGUAAGCUUUAGAGGCGCAUAGCUUGAAAGCUCCGUGAAGUAGUUUUCGCGUCUUUUUGAAUAGUUGAUGCGAAAUUAAAGAUAAAUGCAUGUAACUGGAUUGCAACCAAACACGUAUGAAGCUGAAUUAGUAAAUAAGAUUAAUGUCCAUGUAUUUGUAGUGGAAACAAUUGUAUACCGUCAACUAAUUAUAAAUGAUUUAUAAAAUAAUUAUGGAUAAAGUUAAUAAAUUAAUUAUAUAUGACAAUUUGAAAUUUGCGCUAACAAAGUAAAAAAAUAAUUAUUUACUAUAUAUAUAUAUAUAUAUAUAUAUAAUGUUAUACACUAUUUACUCUUUAUAUAGUUUGCCUUAUUUUUUUUUUUUUUUGCCUUUUCUGCUUGAAACUAUGCAGGCUAAAAUCUCGUCAGAAUCCGUCUAGUGGUGAAAAGUUGUGACAACUUGUACAACGUCCUAGAUUUAAAUCUUGAGUAGCUGUGUAAAAAAUAACAUGCAAGCUAAAAAAAACACUUGGGAGGGCUGUUCCAAAUCAGUUUAACCCAAAAGUUUAGCAUCAUAAGUUAAAAAAAAAUUCUGUAAAAAAAAAAGAAGUUAAAGACAAAAUGUGCAUAUUCUACUCAUGACUUCUAUUGUACCUACCCGUUAACCUUGUCUUUACAAACGCCCUUCAUAUAUUCACACAAAAAAUCAGUUGUUUCCUUUGAAAAGAAAGAUUUUUAUAAUUGUAAACAAACAUAAAUUAGAUUCUACUUUUCUUAAAAUAUCUAAAAAAAAUAUCUCUAAAUUACUUCAUAUAUCAAAAUCACUUUAUUUUUUUUAUCUUAAACAAAUUUAUCCUAUGCGAAGAGAUGAUAUAUGAUGAAUAAUAUACAAGAUAAAGAUAAUAUCGGGAAGGAUCUAAAUAACAGAAGAUAAUAUCCUCAGAAAAGAUAAUCUAAUUUUUAUAUUGAUUUCUAAUUCUAAUUUGAAAACAUAUGAGAGAUCGUUGAUAGUUGCAGAAAACGCACUCAAAAGUGGCACACCGACACCAUACAAUUCACAGCGUAAAUCCCUAGAGUGAGAAGUGACAGUUGAGCGGAUCAAUGACAAACAAGGUAGUAUUUCAGAUGCUCAUUUUUCUUUCUUGUAGAAAAAUAAUCUGUCGGAAAAACUAACAACAGCAAUAAUAAUUUUGUUUGUUACAGAGUAAGUUUGUGUAGAUUUUUAGGUCCAGCAAUAUGUAAGAGGAAAAGAAAUAAAGGGGAAGUUGGUGGACAACG
This 2202-nucleotide long non-coding RNA is filed under the name Glycine max (soybean). RNAcentral's name for it is "long non-coding RNA (GMAX_LNC002016)". Lineage: Eukaryota; Viridiplantae; Streptophyta; Magnoliopsida; Fabales; Fabaceae. The record is from RNAcentral.